UUUUGUUAUUAUAAAGGUUUUGAAAGCCUUUGAGGAGAAAGUUUUCUCAACAAUUU
RNAcentral lists this transfer RNA (56 nucleotides) under Phyllidiella pustulosa. Its description in RNAcentral is "tRNA-Ser". Lineage: Eukaryota; Metazoa; Mollusca; Gastropoda; Nudibranchia; Phyllidiidae. The record is from RNAcentral.